RNAcentral lists this transfer RNA (99 nucleotides) under mine drainage metagenome. RNAcentral describes it as "tRNA-Gly". It matches the Rfam family "tRNA". From Rfam's summary of the family: Transfer RNA (tRNA) molecules are approximately 80 nucleotides in length. Their secondary structure includes four short double-helical elements and three loops (D, anti-codon, and T loops). Further hydrogen bonds mediate the characteristic L-shaped molecular structure. tRNAs have two regions of fundamental functional importance: the anti-codon, which is responsible for specific mRNA codon recognition, and the 3' end, to which the tRNAs corresponding amino acid is attached (by aminoacyl-tRNA synthetases). tRNAs cope with the degeneracy of the genetic code in two manners: having more than one tRNA (with a specific anti-codon) for a particular amino acid; and 'wobble' base-pairing, i.e. permitting non-standard base-pairing at the 3rd anti-codon position. The record is from RNAcentral.
GCGCCAAUAAUCUAGCCUGGUAGGAUCUCAGCUUCCCAUGCAUAGCCCGGCGCUAUGUGGAAAUAGCUGAAUGCCCGGGUUCAAAUCCCGGUUGGCGCA